This 253-nucleotide ribosomal RNA is filed under the name uncultured bacterium. RNAcentral's name for it is "partial 16S ribosomal RNA". It matches the Rfam family "Bacterial small subunit ribosomal RNA", at positions 524 to 776 of the family's 1533-position model. The record is from RNAcentral.
UACGGAGGGUGCGAGCGUUAUCCGGAUUUACUGGGUUUAAAGGGUGUGUAGGCGGGCUUUUAAGUCAGUGGUGAAAUCUCCGGGCUCAACCCGGAAACUGCCAUUGAUACUAUUAGUCUUGAAUUUUGUUGAGGUAGGCGGAAUAAGUCAUGUAGCGGUGAAAUGCUUAGAUAUGACUUAGAACACCAAUUGCGAAGGCAGCUUGCUAAACAAACAUUGACGCUGAGGCACGAAAGCGUGGGGAUCAAACAGG